AAACAAAUAGGUUUGGUCCUAGCCUUUCUAUUAACUCUUAGUAAGAUUACACAUGCAAGUAUCCCGGCCCCGGUGAAAUCACCCUCUAAAUCACUACGAUCAAAAGGAGUAAGUAUCAAGCACGUAUUAAUGCAGCUCAAAACACUUUGCUCAGCCACACCCCCGGGGGAGACAGCAGUGAUAAGCCUUUAGCAAUAAAGGAAAGUUUAAGCUAUACUGACACCCAGGGUUGGUUAAUUUCGUGCCAGCCACUGCGGCCAUACGAUUAACCUAAGCUAAUAGAGACCGGAGUAAAGAGUGUUUUAGGUUUGCCCUCAAUAAAGCUAAGUUUCAUCUAAGUUGUAAAAAACCCUAGCUAAUAUAAAAUAAACUACGAAAGUGGCUUUGAUACUUCUGAAUACAAAAUAGCUAAGACCCAAACUGGGAUUAGAUAUCCCACUAUGCUUAGCCCUAAACUUCAACAAUUAAAUUAACAAAACUGCUCUCCAGAACACUGCAAGCACUAGCUUAAAACUCAGAGGACUUGGCGGUGCUUCACAUCCCUCUAGAGGAGCCUUUUCUAUAAUCGAUAAACCCCGAUUCACCUCACCACCUCUUGCUCAGCCUAUAUACCGCCAUCUUCAGCAAACCCUAGUAAAGACCACAAAGUAAGCACAAGUAUCUACAUAAAAAUGUUAGGUCAAGAUGUAGCCUAUGAGGUGGUAAGAAAUGGGCUACAUUUUCUACCCCAGAAAAUUCCACGAUAACUCUUAUGAAACCUAAGGGCCCAAGGAAGAUUUAGCAGUAAAUUAAGAACAGAGUGCUUAAUUGAAUAAGGCCAUAAAGCACGCACACACUGCCCGUCACCCUCCUCAAGUAUAUUUUAAGGACUAACUUAACUAAAUCCCCUGUACAUUUAUAUAGAGGAGAGAAGUCGUAACAUGGUAAGUGUAACGGCGGAUAUUGAAGGUUUUGAGGA
RNAcentral lists this non-coding RNA (958 nucleotides) under Chlorocebus sabaeus (green monkey). The record is from Rfam by way of RNAcentral. Lineage: Eukaryota; Metazoa; Chordata; Mammalia; Primates; Cercopithecidae.